GCAAGGCUAAAUACUCCCGAGAGACCGAUAGUGAACCAGUACCGUGAGGGAAAGGUGAAAAGUACCCCGAGCAGGGGGGUGAAAUAGACCCUGAACCCGCGCGCCUACAAGCGGUCGGAGCCGAGUAAUUCGGUGACGGCGUGCCUUUUGCAUAAUGAGCCUACGAGUUAGUCGUCACCAGCGAGGUUAAGGGCUUCAGGCCCGUCAGCCGAAGUGAAAGCGAGCCUUAACAGGGCGUAAAGUUGGUGGCGCUAGACGCGAAACCUUGUGAUCUACCCACGAGCAGGUUGAAGUCGCGGUAACGCGUGAUGGAGGACCGAACCGGUAAACGUUGAAAAGUUUUCGGAUGACUCGCGGGUAGGGGUGAAAGGCCAAUCAAACUGGGAAAUAGCUCGUACUCUCCGAAAUGCAUUUCGGUGCAGCCUGUGAUGUUCUGUUCCAGAGGUAGAGCUACUGGUUGGACGCGAGGGCUUCACCGCCUAUCAAAUCCGGAUAAACUCCGAAUGCUGGAACACGAAAUCAUGGAGUGAGCCCGCGGGUGCUAAGGUCCGCGGACGAGAGGGAAAGAACCCGGACCACCGGCUAAGGUCCCGGAUGGACAGUUAAGUUGAUCAAACGAGGUGGGAUCGCGGAGACAGCUAGGAUGUUGGCUUGGAAGCAGCCAUUCAUUUAAAGAGUGCGUAACAGCUCACUAGUCGAGCGAUCCCGCGUGGAUAAUACACGGGCAUAAAACUGUCAACCGAAGCCGUGGGGUUAGCUUUAUUGCUAACCGGUAGGAGAGCAUUCCUGCCAGCUUUGAAGGUCACCCGCGAGAGUGACUGGAGCGGCAUGAAAAGCAAAUGUAGGCAUAAGUAACGAUAAUGGGGGCGAGAACCCCCCACGCCGCAAGACCAAGGCUUCCCCGGCAAUGUCAAUCAGCCGGGGGUCAGCCGGCCUCUAAGGCUAACCCGAAGGGGGACGCCGACGAGAAACGGGUUAACAUUCCCGUGCUUCUCGUCACCGUGACGCGGUGACGGGGUGAUGAAUGGACCGCGCGCAGACGGAAUAGCGCGUUGAAGGCCGUACCCUUUGAGGGUGGUAGUCAAGCACGCCACCGGAGGCGACAGCCGAUAGUACCUCGAGGCCUCGGCCGAGGGGAUAGCGUCCAGGCAAUUAACCCCCUAGAAAACCCGCUAAACUUCAAGUGACGAGGAACCGUACCGUAAACGGACACACGUGGUCGGGUAGAACAUACCAAGGCGCUCGAGUGAUUCAUGGUCAAGGAACUAGGCAAAAUAGUCCUGUAACUUAGGGAUAAAGGACGCUCUAGUGAUAGAGCCGCAGAGAAAUGGCCCAGGCGACUGUUUACCAAAAACACAUGGCUAUGCCAAAUCGAAAGAUGACGUAUAUGGCCUGACACCUGCCCGGUGCCGGAAGGUUAAGAGGAGAGCUCAUCAGUAAUGAGAAGGUUUGAAUUGAAGCCCCGGUAAACGGCGGCCGUAACUAUAACGGUCCUAAGGUAGCGAAAUUCCUUGUCGGGUAAGUUC
This 1526-nucleotide ribosomal RNA is filed under the name human gut metagenome. Its description in RNAcentral is "bacterial LSU rRNA". It matches the Rfam family "Bacterial large subunit ribosomal RNA", at positions 460 to 1983 of the family's 2925-position model. The record is from RNAcentral.